This is a small nuclear RNA of Schistocerca piceifrons (Central American locust), 106 nucleotides long. The record is from RefSeq and is a predicted model, not a curated record. NCBI's taxonomy places the organism in Eukaryota, Metazoa, Arthropoda, Insecta, Orthoptera, Acrididae.
GUACUUGCUUCGGCGGUGCAUAUACCAAGUUAAUUAAACGAUACGAAGAAGAUUAGUGUAGCCCCUGCGCAAGGAUGAUCAUUUUAAAAAAAUUAAAAAAAUAAGA